CCUUGUCUCAGAAAAAAAACUAGUUAUUUUUUCAGAAUACUUUUUUCUCUAGUGUAAGGGCAAGUGUAUAUAACACAUCAUAAAAUAUCUUGAUAAAUGUCAAAAUAUACUAAAUUAUCAAAAAUUUGAUAAUUACACAAAUAGGGUCCUGAGCUAUUUUGGGAUCCAGCUCCUUGAAGUGCUGUUGAUUGAAUCAGGUUGACUCACUUCCUCGUACCUUUCUAUGUUUUUUUCUUUCAUGCCUGAAGGCCCGAUCUACUUAGCCUGACCUCAAGGCCUGGCAUUCUGUCUCAGAUCCAAGUUCCUGCUCCUUCAGGCCUGCGUCUUGUCCUGCACAUCAUACACCUGUCAACCCGGACUAUUCACUCUUCCCAGAACCUCCUCUGUGCUUUUUCACCUCUGUGCCUUUGUUCAGGAUGUCCCUACAGCUGGAAUGCUCAUCAGCACCACCUUAGUUCUAUUCCUGCAACUGCUUCUGGUCCAGGACACAAAAGGAAACCCAUUCGAAGCAUUCAGUAUCAAUCCCAAGUCGUAUCUUGACCUUCUUCACUGCUUUCGAAUAACUACAGCUGUGUUAUAACUGCAGAGCCUCCCAGUGUGGACAGAGACACUUUCUUCACCCUCUGCUUUGGGGCUUAGACAUAUGACCGUGUGACUUGCUUUUGCCAAUGGGAUGGCCGCAAACAUCAAACAUACACAGAGGCUCAAACACACUUUUGGGAUUUGGUUUUUGCAUGCCUGAGGUCCACCAGGAGUAGAACAGGAAGGAAACCUGUGGAGUCAACAUGAACACGACUCAGAACACGAAGCCAAGCCCAGCUGCUCCUAGUCAAGUCCUGUGGACCCACAGCCAACCCAUGAGCAAGGAAGCGAGUGGUAUUUGUUGUAAGCCACUGAAGAAACGCCAUUAGUGAUAUAAGUCACUUCGAGCUUUGAGGUUGAUUAGUUAAUCAAAAGUUAAUUAAUACUCAACCUUUAUACUGUGUGCCCUCCAUGUAAAUUCAUAAAAAAAAUUAAACUAAUUUAGAAUAAGAGUGAUAACAAAGAACUGAGUGGGAAAUUUAGAAUUUUGUACACUGGAAUUGCCCAGACUCUGCUGAAGCCAUCAUAUCUCUACCUGCUUAUUCCAUGAUGACAACCCUAAAAUCUACUUUACUAUUCCCGGAAGAGCACAAAUGACUUAGCGUAAGCUGUCUGUUGGAUCCCUGUCAUCCAAAAGCCAGGACUUGCACACAAGACAGUAUCUUUUGCUGGAAUCAGUUAUUGUCUCCUUUUCAGAAAGCUGCUCU
This 1289-nucleotide long non-coding RNA is filed under the name Felis catus (domestic cat). RNAcentral describes it as "lncRNA (ENSFCAG00000042110.2)". The record is from RNAcentral. Lineage: Eukaryota; Metazoa; Chordata; Mammalia; Carnivora; Felidae.